AGCCCACCCUUUAAUUAAUUCACCCCCUUUAAUUAAUUCACCCCCCUCUAAUUAAUCCAGCCCACCCUUUAAUUAAUUCACCACCCCUUUAAUUAAUUCACCCCCCUCUAAUUAAUCCAGCCCACCCUUUAAUUAAUUCACCCCCUUUAAUUAAUUCACCCCCCUCUAAUUAAUCCAGCCCACCCUUUAAUUAAUUCACCACCCCCUUUAAUUAAUUCAAUUAAUCCCAGACAUAAAAUAUCUAGCGGUACUCACAUUUCAAAGAUUCCUUGCCGAGUCCGACCACUGGGAGCCUCACCGCCCGGAAAUGGAUCCUUCCGCUGAAGAUCCGUGAAGGCAGACUGACGGCGCUGCAAAAUGUCGUCAUCACGCGGCGCCACGCUCCUCCUACAGCAGAAGAAGGAAGUCUUGCCGCAAAGGUACAAUGCCUAGGUCUUAUUUUCGGGGUAGGGCUUAUAUUGCAGCCCACCCCGAAAAUCCGACUAGGGCUUAUUUUCGGGGUAGGGUUUAUUUUCGGGGAAACACGGUAGGCAGCACAUUUGGGAUCCCGUAGCUCAUUUAUGAAGACUUCCUUCCUGCAGCUUCUGAAUACUGCAUACUGCAGGUCAGCACUUUUCCUGCACUUUUGUAACUCUGUGCUUGCUGUAUUUCUUAUAAUGUUACAUGGAAAUCAAACUGUCUGUAACUCUGUUAUCAUAUGUUUCUGCAGAAUGGGGGGAGGGUAAUAAAAU
Pelobates cultripes (western spadefoot toad) is the source of this 731-nucleotide non-coding RNA. The record is from the annotation of a GenBank genome assembly. NCBI's taxonomy places the organism in Eukaryota, Metazoa, Chordata, Amphibia, Anura, Pelobatidae.